Molecule: ribosomal RNA, 482 nt
Filed under: uncultured Ottowia sp.
Lineage: Bacteria; Pseudomonadati; Pseudomonadota; Betaproteobacteria; Burkholderiales; Comamonadaceae
Description: bacterial SSU rRNA
Rfam family: Bacterial small subunit ribosomal RNA
Source: RNAcentral
AAACUUAAAGGAAUUGACGGGGACCCGCACAAGCGGUGGAUGAUGUGGAUUAAUUCGAUGCAACGCGAAGAACCUUACCUACCCUUGACAUGUCCGGAACUUGCCAGAGAUGGCUUGGUGCCCGAAAGGGAAUCGGAACACAGGUGCUGCAUGGCUGUCGUCAGCUCGUGUCGUGAGAUGUUGGGUUAAGUCCCGCAACGAGCGCAACCCUUAUCAUUAGUUGCUACGCAAGGGCACUCUAAUGAGACUGCCGGUGACAAACCGGAGGAAGGUGGGGAUGACGUCAAGUCCUCAUGGCCCUUAUGGGUAGGGCUUCACACGUCAUACAAUGGCUGGUACAAAGGGUUGCCAACCCGCGAGGGGGGAGCCAAUCCCAUAAAGCCAGUCGUAGUCCGGAUCGUAGUCUGCAACUCGACUACGUGAAGUCGGAAUCGCUAGUAAUCGUGGAUCAGAAUGUCACGGUGAAUACGUUCCCGGGUCUU